ACAAACAUGACUUUCAGCAUCAUCUUGAUCUGGACUCUGGCAGUGUUUUGUCAAGAAUCCAUCGGGCAGGUGACAGUGACUCAAACUCCUUCACAGCUGCUCGCCAACACAGGAGAAGAAGUUAAAAUAAAGUGUACAACUAACAGGAACACUGCCUGCUGUUGUGGUGGUACAACAUGUCUUAGCUGGUAUCUACAAAAACCUGGAGAAGCUCCUAAACUCCUCAUUUAUGGAGCAGAUCAACGGCAGUCAGGAACUCCAUCUAGAUUCAGUGGAAGUGGAUCUGGAAGUGAUUUCUCUCUGACCAUCAGUGGAGUCCAGACUGAAGAUACAGGAGAUUAUUACUGUAUGAGUGUACACUAUAUCAGUGGUACUUAUGUGUUCACACAGUGA
Molecule: non-coding RNA, 393 nt
Organism: Puntigrus tetrazona (Sumatra barb)
Lineage: Eukaryota; Metazoa; Chordata; Actinopteri; Cypriniformes; Cyprinidae
Source: the annotation of a RefSeq genome assembly